Non-coding RNA from Cherax quadricarinatus, 1236 nucleotides. Lineage: Eukaryota; Metazoa; Arthropoda; Malacostraca; Decapoda; Parastacidae. The record is from RefSeq and is a predicted model, not a curated record.
CUUGUUGCUGCUACCACGGUACGUGAAGCACUGUGUGCAGGACCUGCUUAAGAAGCGGUAGUAUGCAGUGUGGAGUAAGAAGACCGCGGGCAACAGCAGAUGAGUGUUCCCGGGUUGUCAGACUGUAUUUAUGCGGCUUGCCAGCGAGAGAACUCUCUCUUACAUAUAAUAUUAGUAUGUGUACUGUGUACAGGUGGAUAAAAAAAUAUAAGAUGGAACACAGAUUUGAGGGAAAAUUAAAUAGAAAGUUAUUUCGUGAUUUAUAUGCAUGGAACUCUUCAGUUAUCUUAACUAGACAAAUUAGGCAGCUAAUUAACAUUGCGGAACUUUCUCGUUAUUCAGGACAGUUGUCACAGCUGCCACAUCAUUACCAGCAUCAACAGUGUGGCAACAAGCAGUCUGGCCAAUAAUAUUAAAUUUCAUGGCACAAUAGUUUAAUAAUAUAAGCAGUGACGUGCUGUAAAAAAAUAAAAUAUUAGGGUAAUCAAAUGACACUAUUAAAUCUUCUGAUAAAGGUGAACCAUAAAUAUUAACAAUAACUUUAAGAGACAAAAUUGGAAAUGCUAAAGAAAUAUUAUUCAACUUACUAUUUUAAAUAUAGCUCAAGAUAAUUUUCUUAAGUUUCUAACAAUUUUUUCGGUAAUUUUGCUGUGAAAUUCUUGCUUAGUCUAAAGAUUAUGCAGUAAUUCUUUUCCAACUGACAGAAGAAUUACAACCUUCUGCGGCUUUCGUAGCAGCGACCUAAAGGAGUUAGUAGUAGUAGGGAACAGUAAUACCCUCAUGUAGUUGUAGGUAGUAGUAAUACCCCUCUGUAGUAGGGAGAAUACCACUCAGUAGUAAGGAGUAAUAUCCCUCAGUAGAGAGGGAGGAAGAACCGUAAGUUCUACUGUCUCUGUCCAGAUCUGUAAGGAAAGAAUCCCUUCAUAUUAAUGAAAAUAAAUAUUAUUGAACGUUAAACUUCAGCAUCAUAACACUAAUCACAGCACAUCGGACUGACCUGACUUCUGUUUACAAGGAUUAUGAAAAAAAUGAGUUAAAGAAAGUCUGAGAAUAAAUGGUAUAAAAUACCGACACAAUGGAAACAUAAACACAUAUGCAGCAUUCUCCACCUGACCUCAACAUUCUGAACCCGACUAUAAAUACUCCCGUACCUUCCACCCCAGGUAGAUCUGUGUGUGACUUGAAAAAGUCCACUGUGUGGGCGAAACGUUGUCAAUAAAGGAUCACAUUAAACUG